AUGACUUUUGAAAUGAAAUGAAAAUAGUUUUUCAAGUAUGUAGGCGAGUCUCCAAAUUCAAGCAGCAAUCAAAUCCUCUGCAAUAUAACAUGAUUAAUCCUCCCACAAGUCAUUGGCUAAUGUGUAUACAAUUACAUAUAUAAAGAUUUAAGGGGAAAGCUUGCGAACUCAAACAACAGAUGUAUAAAAAUUAGAGCAGCAAUGUCCAAAUCAAAGAUUGUGAAUAAUUUGCCAACAUACAUGUGAUUAGCCACACUCGAGAACAAAACUCAUGUCAUUUUAUAGUUCUAGGGUUCAGUCAUUUCAAAAAAUUAGUUCAUUUAAGAGGAGAAACUUUAGAAUAAAAUCCUUUUCUCAAUACAGUACAACAACCAGUAUCAGGGUUUUUAACUACACAUUUAGGAGUCAAAUUUUUCAAGAAUUUUUACUAAAAUUGAUGUGCAAGAGAAGAUAAUAACAAAAAUUACCUGUUUUAAUCGUUCAAUCGGGCUUAAUCAACUGUGGGUUCUUAGUUAGGGUUUUGCAAUUCAAUGGCGACAACACAUGCGCUCGGUGGGUACUUCGUAUGGUUCUUAAUGAGGGCCAAAUCGAUGGCAAAAGACGAGACAAUGUCUGCAUUAGUUUGUUGCCCUGCAAGAUUUUAAUUAAAAAAGGAGAGUGAUGAGAGUAAGAGAUGAGAAUGAGAGUGCCAUCA
RNAcentral lists this long non-coding RNA (694 nucleotides) under Citrus maxima (pomelo). RNAcentral describes it as "long non-coding RNA (CMAX_LNC004236)". The record is from RNAcentral. Lineage: Eukaryota; Viridiplantae; Streptophyta; Magnoliopsida; Sapindales; Rutaceae.